ACUGGGUAGCCCAAAAGUUCAUUCAGAUUUUUCCUCAGGAUGGUAUGAAAAUAAGAAUGACCUUUUUGGCCAACCUAAUA
Molecule: microRNA precursor, 80 nt
Filed under: Ovis aries (sheep)
Lineage: Eukaryota; Metazoa; Chordata; Mammalia; Artiodactyla; Bovidae
Description: miRNA (ENSOARG00000021504.1)
Source: RNAcentral